RNAcentral lists this transfer RNA (87 nucleotides) under Pectobacterium phage vB_PcaM_CBB. RNAcentral's name for it is "Pectinobacterium phage vB_PcaM_CBB tRNA-Leu". It matches the Rfam family "tRNA". From Rfam's summary of the family: Transfer RNA (tRNA) molecules are approximately 80 nucleotides in length. The record is from RNAcentral. Lineage: Duplodnaviria; Heunggongvirae; Uroviricota; Caudoviricetes.
GGAAUAUGGCGAAAUUGGUAGUACGCACCACACUCAAAAUGUGGCGAGGCAACUCGUGUCGGUUCGAGUCCGACUAUUCCCACCAAU